Molecule: transfer RNA, 81 nt
Filed under: Pedionis sagittata
Lineage: Eukaryota; Metazoa; Arthropoda; Insecta; Hemiptera; Cicadellidae
Description: tRNA-Ser
Source: RNAcentral
AUAAUUCCUAUUAAAAGAGAAAAUUAAAAUUUAGCUGCUAACUAAAUAAAGAGCAAAAUGUUCAUCUCUUGUGGAUUUAUA